GAGUCCUGACUUGAUGGAGGUCAUGGAGAACUCAUCAGACCCCAUCAUCAGUCAUAUGCUAGAUUGGCUUGAUUCGAGUUCACUUGUGAAUCCCGUAGAAACUCUUUUUCAGUAUUUACACUUGGUUUAGCCAAAGAUUUGCUGAAUUCAGUCUCGCAAAUCAUAUAAGACUUCUCUUUUUCUAUCAAGAUUGAUAGAUUUUUUCUAAGUAUAUCCUACUCCUAACAGCAAACCUGAAUUUACUAUAGCCAACAUACACAGCAA
RNAcentral lists this long non-coding RNA (264 nucleotides) under Elaeis guineensis (African oil palm). RNAcentral describes it as "long non-coding RNA (EGUI_LNC007533)". Lineage: Eukaryota; Viridiplantae; Streptophyta; Magnoliopsida; Arecales; Arecaceae. The record is from RNAcentral.